AUGUCGUCAUCAUCAUUGUCGGCGUUGAGGGAGGCCCACGACACAGGCAGUGUCGGCUGCGGUGCACGCACAACAGAGUCGAUGGCGCUGGCAGGAAGAGCCCGUGUGCCGAGCACGGCUGAAGCAUUUGCAGUUGACAGCGACGUGGAAGUUGAGCGAGGAGACGUCGGGGUUGGGGAUGUCACCGCGCCCAGCGCGGCCGGAGCAGCAGCCGUUGCCGACGGCGACGCAAAUGCCAAGAGAGAGGCAGACGGGGCUGGAGACGCCGCGGCGGCCGCCGUCAACGAAGACGCGGAAGCCGGCUUCGAGCGUGGAGAAGGAGCCAUAGCGGAGGGAGCCCCCGCGGGAGAAGAGCAGCCGCCAAGAGAGGACGGCGAGGGGAUCCUGGAUCUGGUCGCGGUUGCCGAAGGGGAGGUCGGAGGAGGGAGAUCGGGGCAGCCCCGCCGCGCGCGCUCACCCGUCGCUCGCGAGGUCGCCCGCCAUGAUCCCCAAUGCGCGUUUUCCACCUUCUCUCUUUUACAGUGGCCGGUGGUGGCGUCCGUUUUGUCCGUGGGAAAUGUUGAAGUGUUGUCCUUUGAAAACUCAGCAUUGAAGUGGUCCUGCUGCUGCAAACAGGAGAGAGAAAGGGAGCCGGGAGAUGCUCCCAGCAACACGUCAUCGCAGCAUGGCACCACCUUUCACUUCACCCUGUUGCAUGUGAAGCGUGAGCCUCCCUGUCCUCCUCGCUUUUACAUGAAUGAAUUCAUGGCGGCCUUGCUUGUGCUUGGUUGCCUCGAGGGAUGGCGAUAUGCCUCGCUUCGGAAAGGAGCAGAUAGGGAUGGUGGCAGGUCUAGUCACAUCCAUCCACAGCCCUCACUUCCCCAGAGAGAAAUCAGAAAUGUUUAG
This 885-nucleotide ribosomal RNA is filed under the name Triticum aestivum (bread wheat). RNAcentral's name for it is "partial small subunit ribosomal RNA". Lineage: Eukaryota; Viridiplantae; Streptophyta; Magnoliopsida; Poales; Poaceae. The record is from RNAcentral.